This 1537-nucleotide ribosomal RNA is filed under the name metagenome. RNAcentral's name for it is "bacterial SSU rRNA". It matches the Rfam family "Bacterial small subunit ribosomal RNA". The record is from RNAcentral.
AGAGUUUGAUUCUGGCUCAGAACGAACGCUGGCAGCGUGGAUUAGGCAUGCAAGUCGAACGGGAAGCCGUCCUUUCAAUCUUCGGAGAGAAAGGGUGGUGGAGAGUGGCGAAAGGGUGAGUAACGCGUGGGCAAUCUGCCCUUAAGUUGGGGACAACCUCGCGAAAGCGGGGCUAAUACCGAAUACGGUCGGUUGAGGCAUCUCAACCUGACCAAAGAUGGGGACCCUUCGGGGCCUGUCGCUUAAGGAGGAGCCCGCGUCCCAUCAGCUUGUUGGUAGGGUAACGGCCUACCAAGGCUUACGGGUAGCUGGUCUGAGAGGAUGGUCAGCCACACUGGGACUGAGACACUGCCCAGACUCCUACGGGAGGCUGCAGUCGAGGAUCAUUCGCAAUGCGCGAAAGCGUGACGAUGCGACGCUGCGUGGAGGAUGAAGGCCUUCGGGUUGUAAACUCCUGUCAUGAGGAAAAAGACGCCCUGCUUCUAAUAAAGGCGGGGUUCGAUGGUACCUCAAGAGGAAGCCACGGCUAACUCUGUGCCAGCAGCCGCGGUAAUACAGAGGUGGCAAGCGUUGUUCGGAUUUACUGGGCGUAAAGCGUGCGCAGGCGGUCUCGUGUGUCGGGUGUGAAAUCCCACGGCUCAACCGUGGAAUUGCAUCCGAAACUGCGGGACUAGAGUGCAGGAUGGGAGAGCGGAAUUCUUGGUGUAGCGGUGAAAUGCGUUGAUAUCAAGAAGAACACCGGCGGCGAAGGCGGCUCUCUGGAAUGCAACUGACGCUCAAGCACGAAAGCUGGGGGAGCGAACAGGAUUAGAUACCCUGGUAGUCCCAGCCGUAAACGGUGCGCACUUGGUGUGGGGGGAAUUGACCCCCCCCGUGCCGGAGCCAACGCGUUAAGUGCGCCGCCUGGGGAGUACGGCCGCAAGGCUAAAACUCAAAGAAAUUGACGGGGGCCCGCACAAGCGGAGGAGCAUGUGGCUUAAUUCGAUGCAACGCGAAGAACCUUACCUGGGCUUGACAUGGUACUGCAGUCCCGAUGAAAGUCGGGAUGCCUUCGAGGGUGUACCACAGUUGCUGCAUGGCUGUCGUCAGUUCGUGCCGUGAGGUGUUGGGUUAAGUCCCGCAACGAACGCAACCCCUAUGUUUAGUUGCCACCGGCGGUGAUGAGCCGUCGAGCACUCUAGACAGACUGCCUGUACAAGCAGGAGGAAGGUGGGGAUGACGUCAAGUCAGUAUGGCCCUUACGCCCAGGGCUGCACACGUGCUACAAUGGUCGGUACAAUGGGACGCGAAGUCGCGAGGCGGAGCAAAUCCCCAGAACCGGCCCUAGUUCGGAUUGGAGCCUGCAACUCGACUCCAUGAAGUUGGAUUCGCUAGUAACGGCGCAUUAGCUACGGCGCCGUGAAUACGUUCCCGGGCCUUGUACACACCGCCCGUCACAUCAUGAAAGCCGUCUGCACCCGAAGUCGCUGAGCCAACCCGCAAGGGAAGCAGGUGCCGAAGGUGUGGGUGGUGAUUGGGAUGAAGUCGGAACAAGGUA